Long non-coding RNA from Lagopus muta (rock ptarmigan), 10756 nucleotides. RefSeq lists it as uncharacterized. The record is from RefSeq and is a predicted model, not a curated record. NCBI's taxonomy places the organism in Eukaryota, Metazoa, Chordata, Aves, Galliformes, Phasianidae. The transcript is spliced from 4 exons.
CAGCGCGGUGCUUCCCCCGGUUGCGGCCGGGAACACGGCGAGGCUCCACGAGCAGGGGGCGAGGCGCCGCCGUGCGGGAGACGGUACGGCUGCGUCGGGGAAGGCGGCCUCAGGUCUGCUUUAGCUGUCAAGUACAUUUUGACAAGUUCAAGUCCGUGAGCUGCUACAAUACAGAAGAGAAUGAAUGAGGUGAAAAGUUAGGAGUCCCUGAGAAGAUUCAUUGGAUUGCAAUCCUGUGUAUGGGAACUGCUGAAUCACAGCCUGAACCUCUGAUUGAUCACCUGAGGCGAGCCAUGAGUCAGCCAUGGAGUACAGGUGAAGGCAAUUCACUGUGCUGCUGGAAGGGGUGGAGCCUGGCUGCACCUCUCCUAGACCUGUUUAAGAGCUGACCACCAGUGGGGAAGGAGCUCUUCUGGAGAUCCCUCCUCUGGAGCUUUGCAGUGAGCCCAGGAUGUGGUGCUUACCAAACUUUUACAAGGCACAGAUCUGAAACUAGAGGAACAACCUAGCUUGAGGACGUGAAGAAGAAACUCAUUUCCAAAUCUAAAAAGUGACCUAAACACCAGCUCUUCAUCCAUCUGCUGCUGAUGUAGUGCAGGAACUGUCUUUGGACAUGUCCAUGAGAAAACAUAAGGGUUGGCACACAUACACACUCAGAGUGUUCCUCCCAUGCUUCUGGCAUGUGAAUGUCCCCUCUCUUUUGUGGGCUCAAGAAAGUGAAUACAGUUUUAGUGAUCAUCUCUGUCAUCUAAGAAAAGGGAUACUUAAGAACUCUGAAGUCUGAUCCAAUACCAACACUUGCUCUUGGAUAAAUGUCACUCUACUAUCUGCUUCAGAGGCAUUUGUGUACACGUUGACCACAGCAAUACAAUCAAAAAGUCACAGGCGAAGUUCAUAUAUUCCUCAAAACUGCACAACCCUGUGCAAUGCUGCAGCACUACAGUUUAGUACAAAAUUAGAGCAACAGAGUUGAAAAGCCAUAGCAAUGGAUGAUGAGACUGUGAGAAUGGCAGUAUGCAAAACACACAUUGCUAGUUUGGCCACUGCUGCUUAAUUUACAUUUCCUCACAGUUUUAUCAGUGAAAUUUUUGAACAGAUGAACUAAUUUCACUUUGUUUUAAAAUUUUAAAGCUGUCUAAUCUAAUAACUGUCAAUUUUUCACCUUGCCCACUAAUAACCACUAAAGAAUCUAGAAGAAAAUAUAAGGGGAAAGACAAAGGAGAUAAUUUCUGUUUAUGAUCUAACUGCUGCAGAUAUCUCAGUUGUAUCAAAGGCACUGACAAUAGAGCAAUUAAUUGCUAAUACUAUAUUUGAUAUUAGAAAUUUUAUUUCAGUCUCCUGCUUUACCUACAACACUUAGAUCACAAGCUCAGGAAAAAUGCUUCCAGUUAGAGUUUUCUGAAGGGUCUCUGUAUAUAUUUUUUUUCUAUGUACGUACUGUGUGUGUCAAAAUUGCCAAAGCACAUAGGAGAAACAUGUUUUAAAAUUCAGCCCCAAACUUUUAAUGCCUUAGGUCCCCUUAUCUAUCAGCUUUAAAUUACCUUGUGCCACUUGUGUCACAGGAUGUUCUUGAGGAUAUAACUGAUUAAAUGCCAUACAGUCUAGCAGUGAUGGAGCAACUGAAUCCUUCAAAUUCAAGGUCAUUAAAUGAAUUCUUAGACUGUCAGGGUUUCUAAAAGAACUGAAAAUGAGAAAAAGUAUUCAGUAAGUUUUGAAACGGAAUUUUCGAUCUUGUUUUGAAAUGAAGCAGUCAGAGUGGCCCAGGUUAAUUAUCUUCAAAUCAAGAUUUUCAGAGUGUGAUAAUGGGUGAUUGUACUAGUCAGGUACAAACUCAAUUGCUUUAAACUAUUUUUUUUUAAAUUUUUUUAAUAAAUUCACUUAUGUUACAUAACAAUUGUGAAAAAGAUAUUCCUUUUAUAAUUCAAAAGUAAGAAAUUAAUUAUGAUUGAUUUUAUGUGGCAAGGAACAUAAUUGGUUGCCUGCUGGCUAACACACCUGUUUCUGUUCAAUUGAAUGAACUUCAUGGAGCUGUUAUCACAGUCCAACAAAAACUACGUUCAUGCUACCUAUCCACUCUCAGGAUAUCUCAUUCUUUGUGGGUUUAAACUGGCAGUUUUGAUUCAUCAGUUGUUUUUGUACAUUCAUAUAUCUUCCCAUUUUUUUUCAAUAUCUCCCAUAUGUUUAGGGACAGUUAACUAUAAACAUCCAAGUCACGAGGUUACCUCCUUCACAUUGCUUUCCUUUGCUGUGAUACAAAACUGGGUAGUGUGUUUUUUCAUUGUUCUUGUUUUUGUUUGUUUGUUUGUUUGUUGGACUGGGUUUUUGGGUUUUGUUCCUGUGUGUGUGCAUGUACUUUUCUUCGCAUUCUGUCUUUAUCCAUCUCCUAUCCUUUACAUUUUAAUGUAAAUUACAACAAAUCCAGGGCAGAUACCUCCUGGCUGUUUACGCAGCACUUGCCACAGAAGGCUCCAGCUCCAAACCUAGUAUUCCCAGAUGGUACUGUAAUAUAAGCAGUAAAGAUAAUCUCAUAAUUCCCCAAAGCUUCAGCCCUGACCCCAACAUGCAGGAAGCACUCCUCUUUCCUGGCACUAUUCAGUCUUUUUUGUCAAGACAAAUGCUCUGAGUUGACACGGGCUCUACAACACAUGUCCUUUCUGUCUGUAUGUAUGUCCCUUCUGAAAUCUACAUUUUGCAUAAUGAGUGACAUACAAUGGUAGCAAUCUGCAAAUUUAUAUAUAUAGACAGGCACAUACACAAAUAAACACACACGUGUUUUCUGCAGCUUAAGUGUUACUGGAAUUUGUUACUCAGUUUCUGCACCACUACAGACAUUUAUGUACUGUAGUUUGAUAACAAAUCCCUACACAGAUAUAACUCUAUCACUUGCAUAUCUGAUUGGAGAGUGCUGAGUCCUGAAACUUUGCAUCUCCAUAUCCAUGGUGAAAUCUCAUUCUGCAUAUUGCUUUGCCAUAAGUGAAUUGUUGUUGAUCCUACAUAAAUACAUUUUCUUAGCUUGCUUCUUCUAUACAGAACUUCCAUUUGGUCUCAGACAGAGCUAUCCAUUUUAGACUUCCUUUACAACUAAAGGAGAAAUAACUCUCACCUGAGCAACGAUCCUUGUAAAACAAAAGUCCUAAAACAGGUGAGAUAAAGUGUUCUUCAUGUAGACAGCUUGUCAUGAAAAAAAAAUAGACACUUGACUUUUAUAUGACAAAUUUAAAUUAGAUUAAUCGUUUCUGGGAUUAUUUUCUGUCAUGCUUUUUCUCUCCACUAAAGAUGAAAAAGAUUAUGUGUCACUAUUUCAGUUUUGCUUCUGAAUGCCAUGUUGUGAGCAUGGCCUGUGGGGAGAUUAUGACUUUUGUGUACCACUCCAUGGUAAUAGAUGGUUAUCAAACUUGCCUUCUCAGUCAUCUUAUUUUAUUUUUUAAUCCUGGCAGAGUCUUCUAAUUAUAUCUUAUCCCUAGAGCUCAGCAAACCUUCAUAUACCUAAUACUCUUACAAUCAGAUCCACAACCUGAAAAGCAUUUAAUUUUGAUCCUCUAUAAGGGGCUAUAUAGCCUUAUUUCUAUGUGAAAGCAGCUGUAAAUAUUUUUCCCCAAAGUUUUUACUAAUCUUUCUGAAUGGCUGCAUUUUAAAACAUAGCUCACCUCAGCAUUUCUCUCCAUGCUCUAAUAUCCACAAAUGCUGGAUAUCAGAACUGUAAAAAUGCUCGUAAUGGAUUAUCAUUUUAUCCUCUGCUCAGGGAUAACAAAUUUAAGCACAGCAUUUGGAAAUAUAUUGGCCUUGGUAGACAGAGGCUGAGACAAAGCACGCUGAACAGCCCUGUUUAUUCUUUUAUAUUGCCAGUGGCAUCAUGAUUGAGAUCCUGGCUUGUGAUACUAACCAGAAAGAACAAAUCACGUGGAUUUGGAACUAGAUGUCAGUCAGGGUGUACACACCAUCCUGCAUUAGAGAAUUUCACUUGCCUGUGAAUUAAAUUACUGUAAAAUUAAUUUGAAAGAAUGAGUCAUUUUUGGAGGAAAUGUUUAUCAGAACUGAUUCUAGUGAACAAAACUUGGUUAAGUGCUACUGAGCUGCAGUUGUUUAGCAAAGAUAUUCCCUAAAACAGUCUACAUAUAAGGAAGAAAAUUAUUAAUAAUUAGAUACUUAUGUGCUUUAUUGUUUGAUAAGUUCCUCAUAACUGACUGAUCAUCCUUUAUCAUGCUGGAGCAUAUGGAAAAUGAUUGCAGUGCCAAAAUCAUCACUGUAACCUCUACAAUUCCAGGAAUGUUUAUUUCCAAUAGCAGUGAGCAGCAGUAAGGUUGUCAUCAGGGUAUUCCGCUCCAAUUACACGUAAAUGCCUUUUUUCUCUUUAAAAUUCCAAUAAAUGUUUGCAUAUUUAAAAACAUUGUGCUUGAAAGCUUAGAAAUUAAUGAGCUGGUUGGCUAAAAGCAUAACUUGAAUAUGUUAGCAAAGCAGUAAAUUCUCUAGCACGAUGAAUAACCUCUCUGAAACUUACUAAAAUCCACUGUUGCAGUUUUGUAAUAGCUCACUUCUCCUAUUGCUUUUAGGAAAACUUAUUAUUCAAAAUUUAUUACUUAAAAUUAGUCUAUAAAGGAACUAAAUCCAGGACAUUGGUUUAAACAAAUAUUUAAUCCUUGUCAAUAGCUUUAAAUAUUUUUUUCUAGGUAAGAAUUCUCAACAGGGGAGAAUUGGAGAAUUCUACAUUGAUUCUCUUACGUAUUAUCGCAUGCAGGCUGUCUCUUGCCACAGGCUGAUGUUUUAAUUUUGCUAUUCAUUCUAAUAACUUUUUGUGCUUCUGAAAUUUUUAUUUCAUUAGGGUUUUAAACCAUCUCAUAAGAAGUAUUUACAAAACUGGCAACAGUCUAAGUUUCUAAUUCCUUAUAUAAGCUGUACUGUACACAACUGUCAAAUCAAAUUAGAUGAACAAACAUUUUGUCUGUAAGAACUAAAUGGCACAUUGAAGAAUAAAUCAAACAGUAAAUAAGUAAAUAAAAACAGACAUUUUUGUCAGUUUGUGCUGUCAGGUUUUCAUGACAUCAUUCGCCCCUCGUUCAUCCUGCAUGAAGCUGUCAUAUUAAGAAGAAAAUGCAGCCUUAUAAAAAAAGAGUUAUUUAAAUAUUUAUUUAUCUACUUAUUGCUAAUAAGGGCAGGAAUAAUGAAAAAAACAGACUCUUUUGCCAAAAAAUUUGCACUGAUUUUAGUUAUCAUUACACCAUUGUUUCCAGCAAGUAUGAUUGCUAAUCAUAUCAACAGUAAAUUGAAUAUCUAUUUCCCCUUUCCUACUCAUUCAAACCUUCUUCCAUUAGCAUAAUUGCAAUUAUUAAUUAUUUUUAUUACAGUUCUACACAAAAGUCCUAAUCAAAAUCUGGCAUACAUACAGAUGAAGAGGAAGUUCAAGUAAGUUUUGUGAAGAAACAACAGUGACAACAGGAACUUGUUGCUGCUCAUGAGAAUUUGAGAAAUGCCAUGACUUCUUACUGCUUUUUUUAGUCACAAAUGUGUGUCAAAAUGCAGUUAGCCAGAGUUCAGACAUCCGUAUUCGUUUUGCAAAGACUACUUUUGGCACAUCUAGCAUCAAAGUUAUAGCAAAUUUUAGGGUUAACUUAGAAAGAUUAAAAAGACUGGAUUCUGUGACAGAUGGAAAACCUCCUGUUUGUGCAGGCAAAGAUUUAUUUUCAAGAAUAAAUAAGUAAAGAUUAAUUUUAUCUAUGCAUAGAGUAAAUUUCUGUGAAAAUUACUGUGAGAAACAUGAUGUUAUAAUUAUGAGUUAUUCUAAAAGAUAGACUUAAUUAUUUUCAGUGAUAACUAUAUUUGUAUCGAGAACUGAGGGAAAAAAAAAAUCUAUAGCGAAAGGGCAAUCAUUUUCUGUCCAGGACUUCUUAAGCAUAAAAAUAACUGUAUUAAAUUUUUCACGAGCAAAAUUUUUUAUAAAGAUGGAUUAGUGGACAGAAUAAACUAAGCAAACCAAUAUCAUUUAUACAUUGCACUUGAAAUGAAAAUGUACACUUUAAUAAACAGAUGUAACCAUUACAUCUUGAUAUCUCUACAGAAUUCACAAGUUCUCUAAUUUCUUUAGCUCAAAAUAUGAACUGAGAAUUUCUUUAGAUCUUUUUCUUCAGUUCUUUUUCUUCAGUUCUUUUUCCAGUCAUUGAUGAAACCAACCCAGCAUUUCUUUUUUGUUUGAAUGUUAAUUUUUUAAAGUGAUAAAUAUGAUCACAGGUAGUCCACCCCCUGGGUAGAGACUGAAAGAACUAAAUGAAAGGGAGAGCUGCCAACGUUCUGUUCUUUUUAUGAUAAAGCUAAAGCAUUACAGCAUCAGGAAUUGCCUGCUCUGCCUUCACAAUCAGGAGAUUUACACUACUUCUUAGUGUACUUCCUUGUCAAAUGAGGAACUCUGGGAUGGGUGGAGCAGAGCAUUUCCCGUGAGAGGACACAGUGAAGGACCGUAGCUCAGUCACCAUGGCAAAGGGAAAGCUUUGCAGGAUGAAACAGCAGUACUUCCAGGGGCUACCAAGAAGAUGCAGCUGGGCUCUUCACAAUGGGAGGAUGAGAGGCAGUGUGAAUAAAGUGAAAAAAGCAAGGUUUAGACUGAAUAUAGGGUAAAACGUUUAUUGAUGAAAACAAUCAAUCAGAGCCUAUUCAGUGUAUACCACCUAUAUACCUGGUAUACACCUAGAGAGUUUGUGUGAUUUCUACCUUUGAGACUUUCAGGACCAGACAGGAAGAAGCCCUGAACGACUCAUGGUUGACCCUCCUUAAGAAGGAGGUUGGACUAGAGAUGUCUUGAGGUCUUUUCUAACCUUAAUUAUCCUAUGAUUCCUUAUGUCUGUGAUAUCACCCUUCAUGUGCCUACAUUAGAAGCAAUAAGAAAUUCAUCAAAUAUAAAACUUCUCAAUUCUCAUAUAAAUAUUUGGAUCCUACAUAUCCUCUAGAGACAUAUGGAUGCAAAAGAAAGUUUAACAUAAGCAUGGGCUGCAUAUAAUACAGUGUCUUCCUUAUGACUACAUACUAAUACGUUAGUUGGGAUGUCACAGAUAUAUAUUUAUAUUUACUGACAUUUUAGAUAUUUUAAUUAUUGAUUUUAUGUAAUAAUUUGCAUGUAUUUUAAAUGACAUUACUAUACCACUUUUUUUCCUCUAGAUUUAAAACACGUUUUUUAACUUUUGCAUUUAAGUUAUUCCAAAAGCUAAGCAAAAAAAUAAUGCAAUAUGUAUUAUUCUAAUCAUUUUCUUACUAGCAAAAUGUGGUCUGUCAGUACACAUCAUGAUAUACGUGAUACAUAUGGUACAAAUUUGAAUUUCUUUUAUAGUGCAUCCAUCUCAACACUGGACCAUAUGAGAUUGGUAGAGGGGAGUUCACUAAAAAAGAGCAGAUUGACUGCUUAGUUCUGCUCUCAAAGAAAGACACUUUACAGUAUGAUAAUGAAUGCAGAUUACAGUGGUUGAACAAUAAACUUUUGAAUAAUGUAAUUUUGUUCAGAUUCUCUAACAAAAGCAGAGUUAAGUAGCCAAAACACAGAUAUUUUCCUUUAAAUUGUUUUCCAUGUCUUGUUUUCAGUAGCUUUUAUUUUAGAAAAGUCCUGACAAGUAAGUUGAUGGCUACUUCUGAACAGAAUAAUGUGAUAAAGAAAGAAACAAUUUAUUCAGCUUAUCCCUAGUGACAGUAAAAUUCAGUGUUCUGUCAAUAACUCCACCUUUAUCAUCUUACUUUUCAACGAGAUUCCUUUGACAGUGGUUUUAAAUACAUAUUAUAUAGAUGUAUAUAAUAUAUAGAUAUUUGUUUAAUGCAGAACAAACAAUGCAAUCUCAUCUUCAUAGGAAACAGAGAGAGGGGGACAGUUAUGAAUCCAUUUCAUUUUUGAUUUUGUAUUUUGAACACUUUAUCAGAAUGUUGUAUAAACCUUAAUCACAUACACUGGUAUUUCAACUACGUUACACUGAAGGUUCAGAACUGACAAAUAGCUCAACGUGAACUUCUGUGUCUAUGUGAUAAAGAAUACAUUUUUUAAACAUUUAAGUAAUUUAAACAUUAAAAUGAGGGUGCUAUUAAGAAUGAGUACAGCCUUUUUCAUUACACAUUUUCCGAGUUUUAGUUUAAAAAUUACUUUUGUCCUAGAAACGUUUGGUUCAUAAGUCAUGCAUUCCUAAUAAUCUCAAAAAAAUUAAUUAAGCAAGCCACCAUAUUAAAUUUGUUGUUUGCUUCAACCAGAGCUGUUGCAAAGAAUUUUCACCGCAAGCAUCAUAUUAGCGGGAGCACUAAGGGAAAAAUAUUUCACACCAGUCCUUUUUCCUCUGCACUGGCAACCAUAAUUUAUUCAAUUUUGUUGGUAUCUUUCAUUAUAACCCAUAAUGCAAUUCUGAAAAAAAGAACGAUGAAAAUGAUAAAUCCAGUUAUUGCUAGGAUAUCUUAUGGCAUGAAAUACCAUCAGUCUAAACUAAAGUUAAAAAUCUGGUGUUUGAAAGUCACAUUCAUUCUUUCUUAUUACUUCUUGUAAGUUCUUUUGUUUUUGUCCCUUUCUCCUUUUUUCCCUUUCUCCCUGCUUUCUAGUAGGUUUUGCUUCUCCUUUCACCACUGUCUUCUGAAUGUCCAUUCUGUAUUUUGUAUGUCCUCUGUAUUUUGCCACUCAUUUAGCUCUGUCAACAAGCCCUUAUUUACUGACUAAGGAUAGAUCAGCAAACUCUUAAGCAUUAAUGGAUCCCUCAUGAAAUGCUUCUAAAUUUACCAAUUCCUCUCUGGUGAUUCAAAACAGUGACAACAAAAUUCAACAAAAAAAUUUUGAAUCUGGUGAUUCAAAACAGUUACAGAUCUGUGACAACUGUAUUUUAAUAGGUCCUACAUAAAACCAUCAUCUGCUUUUGCCUGUUCUUUAAUUCAGCCUACAAAUAUCCCAUAAUUAAUUUACUGAGUUUGCUUGGCAACACAAAUGAAAAUUCAUGAUACUAUGUAGAGGAGAGAAAGAAAUAUGAAUCAGUAUAGACCUUUGUAUCAAUCUUUAAGCAAGCAGCUUCCAUCAAAGUCAAGUAAAUUAAAUAUAAAAGCAGUAGAGUUCUUUGAAAACUGCAACUCAUUUUAUCAAAUCUCUACAGGAGAUAAAUGAAGAUAUUAUGCAAAAAUUAUUUUAAAAAUUAAAAUGUAUUAAUGUAGACAAUUAUUUUCCACACACAUACCUUCCUUAUUUCCUAGCUUGUAGGAAAGGUUAAAGAAUUGUUAUAAACAUGUAAGUGAUGCUCUAGCGAACUUACAGAAAACAUAUAAUAAAAUAUGCCUAUUAUAACUGACAUCUAUUCUGCAGUGUCACAACUGGACUUGAAAAACACCACCAAUACUGUAUUAAUGAAGUCUUUAUAACAAUUUAUUUUAUUCCUUCUCCCAGCAUGAAAAGACAAAUGUUCUUUUCCACCCAAACAUUAUACAUUUUGCAACUAGCAUAAUUUUUACAGGAUAUAAUUAAAGCAGUAAUCAUGAACUAUGUGACAUCUUCCACAAUUAUUCAGUAAGAUUUUCUUCCAUUGAAUGAUAUUAUCUUUAAAAUUAUUAGCAAUUUAUUAGACUCGUCAGUAAUAUGUGGAAAAAAAUGCAGUAGGUUAAACACUCAUUUUUUCCAAAGAUAAUAAAAUGAAAUAUAAAGGCCUAAAUAUUAUGCAUCCUUCCUAAAUACAGCUUUAGCUGACAAUACAGGAUAGUAAUAAAUUCACUUUAACAUCUGCAUUAUGAUAUCACAAGUAAGUUUUUGAAUAAUAUUCAAGUACCUGUAUCAUCUGUUAUGAAAAGUGCAGUGCAGGCAUGUUGCUAUUUAACAGAAAGUCAAAAUAACAGCUGAAGAACAGCACAGAAAAUGGUAAGAGACCUUUUCUAGGUCUCUCACCAACUGGCUGCUGGAUUUUCUAGGUAGAUUAACUCAUGGGAGAUUAAAACAGAAGCUUUGCUCAGAGUACCCACCAGGCAAGAGAAAGCAGAAUACAGUGUUUCACUUACAAUGAUGUUCCAUGUAAAACCAGAGAAGCUGAUUGGCAAAGCAAUCAUCUUAAAAAGGUCCCUGAAGACUAUAAAUAUAACACAAUUAUAUUUUAUACUGGCACUCUGUGGCACGACGACAACCCAUUAACUUAAUCAGAAUAAUGACAGGAGGGCCAUCAGAAUGAUAAAGCCGUUCUAAUGAAAUGCAGACAAAGAUUAAAAAGAAUUAAAAGUGACAAGUAAAAUCCAUUAAAGGACAGUCUUUAGCUACUGUAAUCAAAGGAUUAUUACUCACCUUGUAAAUUAAGAGCAGUGUGUCCAUUUUUUUUUUCACACAACACAAAGACUAUGCCAGGUGUCAAAAAUCAUUAUUAAUAAGAGAUCUUUAUUUUUAAUUUAUUUGGUUUGUGCAUGUACAUUGCAAGACCUCCAAACAAAUCAUGUUCACUAUUUCAGAAGCCGUACCACACACAAUUAAGCAUAGUGUUCUGUGCUAUUAUUGUCCAUACAACUAAGUCUGAGAGAAAGACAGUAAUUACAAAUGGAAUCAAUUGCAAGUUUAUUAAUCAGUGCCUUUAUACUUGUCUCUAACACUAGAAACCCUACUCGGGCAGAAAUGAUCUAUGUGUUUUUCACUCAUUGACACCACUUUACCUAUAUGUAUGCCACAACAUUUUGCAAAACAGGUGAUUCCAGCAAGGUUAGACUGCAGGAAAUUCAAAGGCAAAUUAGUUUCCAGUUGAACUAACAUUUCAAGUAAUUACCUGCAGAAAAUAAAAUAAUAAUUACGGAGAAG